CCUACGGGUGGCAGCAGUGAGGAAUAUUGGUCAAUGCACGAGAGACUGACCCAGCCACGUAGCGUGAAGGAUGACUGCCCUCUGGGUUGUAAACUUCUUUUAUAGGGGAAUAAAUUCCUCCACGUGUGCGUUUUUGUAUGUACUUUAUGAAUAAGAGUCGGCUAACUCCGUGCCAUCAGCCGCGGUAAUACGGAGGAUCCGAGCGUUAUCCGGAUUGACUGGGUUUAAAGGGAGCGUAGCUGGGUUUUUAAGUCAGUUGUGAAAGUCUGCGGCUCAACCGUAAAAUUGCAAUUGAUACUAGCAGACUUGAGUAUAGGAGAGGGUGGCGGAAUUCGUGGUGUAGCGGUGAAAUGCGUAGAUAUCACGAAGAACACCGAUUGCGAAGGCAGCUCACUG
Molecule: ribosomal RNA, 396 nt
Filed under: uncultured bacterium
Lineage: Bacteria
Description: partial 16S ribosomal RNA
Rfam family: Bacterial small subunit ribosomal RNA
Source: RNAcentral